CGCAUGCGUGAGACCGGGGCGGUGUCCGGGAGUCGAGAGAGUCGGCGGUGCACGCUCCACAUUUCCACUUCCCUAGUCAAUGCCGGCAGUCUCGCGGGAUUUCCUCCUGUCGCGGGAGUUAUUUGAAUGCCUGCGCGGUAACGACUCCUUAGGGGCCUGGGGCCCUCUGACAAGAAGCCUGAGGAGACGCCGCGGAGAGCUCUGCCUCUGGAUUGGUGGGCAGGUUGGCUGUAGCUGAACGCCGACAGGGCUUGUCCGGACAGAGUCCCAGAGCCAUGGGAGCGUAAAGAGACUGCUGCGGAUUAAGGAGGCCUUUCGGCUGGCGCAGCAGCCGCACCACAACCAGGCGAAGCUGGUGGUGGCGCUGAAUCGCUCCUGCGGCGGGGGGUAACUGUCAGAUUCUGAAAAGAAUUAAAGAGUUGCUGGAUCCAAGAGGAAAUGUGUUUGCAAAUAUGAUAGAUAUUUACAAUUGCCCUUCAUGGAGUGAUCCGUUCCUGAUCGGCAGAGAAGAGCAUGAGAGUACUGUGGUAAACAGCAAUGAAGUUUUUGAUGUGCCAAAUUCUGACGAUGGAGUUUUGCUCUUGUUGCCCACGCUGGAGUGCAAUGGCAUGAUCUCGACUUACCGCAACCUCCAGCUCCCGAGUUCAAGUGAUUCUCCUGCUACAACCUCCCGAGUAGCUGGGAUUACAGGCGCCCGCCACCACGCCUGGCUAAUUUUGUAUUUUUAGUAGAGAUGGGGUUUCUCCAUGUUGGUCAGGCUAGUCUCGAACUCUCGACCUCAGGCGAUCUGCCCACCUUGGCCUCCCAAAGUGCUGGGAUUAUAGGUGUGAUAAAUUGACCAUCUUAUACCAGGAAAUCAAAUGAGAAGACAUCAGUAAAAAUAUUCUGGCCAACUCAUGUUUUAUUUAUCAUAUCCUCUUCAUUAAUUGCUUCUCAUAAUGCCACAGUUUGUCAUGGUAUUUGUGGCAGCAGGCAAAGUCCUUGCUUAGACUUUGAUUAAAUUACUGUGGCAUUUUUCUAUUAAAAAGAUAUCGUGGUUUCAAUCUAUAAUUUGCCUGUGAUCUGCGGGUUAAAAAAAAGAGCACUAUACUAUUCCAUUUGAUUCAGUGUUUUCAGAUAAUACAUCAUUUUGCUUAGUCUCAUUUGGAUGAAAUGAAUAUUUCCAGAUCUACAUGUCAAAUAAGAGGAUACUACAACUUAGUAUGUAACUCCUAAAAAAUAGAAAUUAUUUAAUAUGAGUUAAACUUCAAUUUUAACAGAUGUUGAGUGCCUAUAUCAUAUGCCAAGCAUUGGACUAGGUACUUGUACAUGUUUUCUCAUGGACUGCCAUCAAGGUUAAAGAGGUUGCCCAUGAUCAUGUGACUGUUUAGUGAAAGAGCCAAGAACCUAAGUACUACGACAUGUAUCCAGGUGCCCUUUGCACUGUCCCAUGUUUCAAAUCAUUAAAGGUGGGAUGCGAUUUUCAAGAUUAUUUAAUAGCUGUAAUUUGUAAUGGGUACAAAUAUGGUUUAUAAUGUUAACAUUAAACUAGAAACUAUGCAACA
Macaca mulatta (Rhesus monkey) is the source of this 1544-nucleotide non-coding RNA. Lineage: Eukaryota; Metazoa; Chordata; Mammalia; Primates; Cercopithecidae. The record is from RefSeq and is a predicted model, not a curated record.